CACCAGUGCCCCACCUCCCAAGCCAUGCCCCGCACGUCCACAGUGACCACCGGUCCAUUCUCACUAGGGUGGACUGAGGAGGCUCCUUAUAGCACUCGUGGUCCAGUCAUUUCACCUCCCAACACUCCCGCCUUAACACAGGAUGUUGGGAGUGGGGGAUACCUCAUACCCAAAUUAUACCACCCUCCUCACAGGCUCCUGCAGCAAAUCCCAUGCAAAAUUAUUUCUUUUGACAUUUGGUUUGGGAUAUCCUUAUUUCUCCCCCAAAAUUAGUCUGCUUCCUGCUUUCUCCUAACCAUGAGAACAAGACAGAGCACCAUUUCCCUUUUCACCCAAGUGGCCAGGAAGCUCAGAAUGAAAUCUGAACCCCAUUACUGCCACCAUGUCUGUACCUGCAUUCUGGCUGUAAUCUUCCCUCCUUCCCUGGGCUUUAAUUUCGAUGCACAGUUUACUGUAUGUCAUUUGUGAGUUGCUUCAAAGUUGACCGAACUUUUUCUUUCUUACCCCUGGGCUUUCCUUCCAAGACUUCUUUAACUGGAAAGCUACCCUGUGUCUUAUUUGAUGGAACCGUUGCCUGAGUUUAGUGGGGGUGACAGGUGGAGGCUUGUCACCGGCGUCAGCUCCCAGCCUAGGCUGUGCUCCCUCUCUGCAGGGCAGUCCCAGGGGCUCACAGACUCUCUCUGGGCUUCAGUUUCUCUCUAUGUAAAAUGAUGGGCUUUUGACAGGCUCCGCCCACAAUCCAUGCCUGAAUUCUGAGAGUCUGUUAGCCCUGUUGGUAUUUGGGGUCAAUACCGGGGACACCGACUCAAGGAUCCUAAGAACCAAGUCCAAGAGAUGAAAAAGGGGAGACUCCUCAGGGAUAGAAGUGCCACCGUCUGCCCCUUCCCAUGACACUGUUAGGCUGGAGACUUGGAAGGAGGGGCAGAGAGAGGAGCCGGCUGAGGCUUGACAGCUCUAUCAGUCAGGAAGCCCAGGGAGGCCUCUGCGGCGGCCAAGGUUGCUGACGGCCUCCAUCUGCUCGGAGCCUCUUGCCAGGUAGCCACCAAGCUGGGACUGGCUCCGUGGCCCCUCUGUCCCCCCACCUUUCCCUGAGCGUCCAUGAUGGUGCAGCUGGGAUGGAGGAGGGAUGGGAGUCAGGAGGUACCUGCGGCUCCCUUCCCAAAUGGGAGGCCUGGCCCACGUUGCCCUGGAGACCCAUCCUGGGGGAGGCUGGCCUGGAGGCCGGUGCCCAUAACUUCAGAAGCACUCCUGGGUGUGCUCUGACUUCCUGAGGGUAUAUGCCGGCGAAUCUCUGAAGAGAAAAAAAAAAGAUCUCCUUCAAGACAUAGUGGUAACUGGGCGCAGGGGAGCACACCUGUCAUCCCAGCGGCUCAGGAGGCUGAGGCAGGAGGAUGGCAAGUUCAAAGCCAGCCUCAGCAACGUGAGGCACUAAGCAACUCAGUGAGACCCUGUCUCUAAAUAAAAUACAAAAUAGGGCUGGGGAUGUGGCUCCGUGGUUGAGUGCCCCUGAGUUCAAUCCCCAAUCCCCGCCCACCCCCCAAAAAAGAGGAAGUGGUAGUAACAGCAGGAAAUGACCAGUCUUCUGAUUUCACAGAACUGCCCCAUCCUUCCAUUAUUCUCUUUGUUUCUGGUGCUGCUGGGGAUUGAACUCUGGGCCUCCCACGUGCUGAGCAAGUACUCCACCAGAGUCAAGCCCCUGGCCCGCCGUGGCCCUCUGUUUGCUACUUUAGUUGGAUCCUAGAGAGUCGGGCUGGGAGAGGCCAGAACAGGGUGGUCCUGCAGGGGCUAUCCUUUGCCUACAAGAUGGUUCUUAAGAACAGAUUUGCUCCCACCUCUCAUCCCUGUUUAAUGGAGAGGUGGGAGGGAAAGGGAGAGAGAAGGGAAAUUGCAUGGAAAUGGAAGGAGACCCUCC
RNAcentral lists this long non-coding RNA (1912 nucleotides) under Marmota monax (woodchuck). The record is from RNAcentral. Lineage: Eukaryota; Metazoa; Chordata; Mammalia; Rodentia; Sciuridae.